Molecule: ribosomal RNA, 229 nt
Filed under: uncultured bacterium
Lineage: Bacteria
Description: partial 16S ribosomal RNA
Rfam family: Bacterial small subunit ribosomal RNA
Source: RNAcentral
GAUCAUGGCUCAGGAUGAACGCUAGCGACAGGCUUAACACAUGCAAGUCGAGGGGCAGCAUGAGGUAGCAAUACCUUGAUGGCGACCGGCGCACGGGUGAGUAACGCGUAUGCAACCUGCCCGAUACCGGGGUAUAGCCCAUGGAAACGUGGAUUAACACCCCAUAGUACUUUUAUCCUGCAUGGGAUGUGAGUUAAAUGUUCAAGGUAUCGGAUGGGCAUGCGUCAUA